This 62-nucleotide transfer RNA is filed under the name Desis jiaxiangi. RNAcentral's name for it is "tRNA-Ile". Lineage: Eukaryota; Metazoa; Arthropoda; Arachnida; Araneae; Desidae. The record is from RNAcentral.
AGUAUAGUGCCUGAUUUAAAAGGAUUAAUUUGAUAGAUUAAAUAAUGAUAGAUUAAGAAAAC